RNAcentral lists this transfer RNA (72 nucleotides) under Ipomoea nil (Japanese morning glory). It matches the Rfam family "tRNA". From Rfam's summary of the family: Transfer RNA (tRNA) molecules are approximately 80 nucleotides in length. The record is from Rfam by way of RNAcentral. Lineage: Eukaryota; Viridiplantae; Streptophyta; Magnoliopsida; Solanales; Convolvulaceae.
GUGGCUGUAGUUUAGUUGUAAGAAUUCCAUGUUGUGGUUGUGGAGACUUGGGCUCGACUCCCAACAGCCACA